This 21-nucleotide microRNA is filed under the name Chlamydomonas reinhardtii. RNAcentral's name for it is "cre-miR1156.2". Lineage: Eukaryota; Viridiplantae; Chlorophyta; Chlorophyceae; Chlamydomonadales; Chlamydomonadaceae. The record is from miRBase by way of RNAcentral.
UUCAGCUGGAGCUUCAGGCAC